This is a long non-coding RNA of Sapajus apella (tufted capuchin), 475 nucleotides long. RefSeq lists it as uncharacterized. The record is from RefSeq and is a predicted model, not a curated record. Lineage: Eukaryota; Metazoa; Chordata; Mammalia; Primates; Cebidae. The transcript is spliced from 3 exons.
AUCCACCAGUCCCGGAUCAUCAGCGUCUGCGGGCACCGUGCGUCGGGCACUGCCUCAGCCAGCGCCUCAGCCAGCGUGCAGGCCCGGCCACAGUGCACGUGGCCCCCAACCCUGCUGGCAGCGUCCUCGGGGUCCACAGCACAGGCAGGGCCCCCAGUGAGGUCUCUGGGUGAGCGUGGGGUGAGUGGUCCCCAGUGAGGUCUCUGGGUGAGCGUGGGGUGAGUGGCGCCCAGUGAGGUCUCCGGGUGAGUGUGGGGUGAGUGGUCCCCAGUGAGGUCUCGGGGUGAGUGGCCCCCAGUGAGGUCUCUGGGUGAGCAUGGGGUGAGUGGCGCCCAGUGAGGUCUCGGGGUGAGUGUGGGGUGGGCAGCUGCCCCUCCAGCAGCCUUGAUGCUAUGACAGUCAGCAAACAAAGCAGCCCCAUGCCCCGGCCUGACGCCAAGCUCUGCAGGGGAAACGUGUCCCUCUGCCACACUGG